CCCCCCUUCGCAGUAACACCAAGUACGGGAAUAUUAACCCGUUUCCCAUCGACUACGCCUUUCGGCCUCGCCUUAGGGGUCGACUCACCCUGCCCCGAUUAACGUUGGACAGGAACCCUUGGUCUUCCGGCGAGCGGGCUUUUCACCCGCUUUAUCGUUACUUAUGUCAGCAUUCGCACUUCUGAUACCUCCAGCAACCCUCACAGGCCACCUUCACAGGCUUACAGAACGCUCCCCUACCCAACAACACCUGAGUGUCGCUGCCGCAGCUUCGGUGCAUGGUUUAGCCCCGUUACAUCUUCCGCGCAGGCCGACUCGACCAGUGAGCUAUUACGCUUUCUUUAAAUGAUGGCUGCUUCUAAGCCAACAUCCUGGCUGUCUGGGCCUUCCCACAUCGUUUCCCACUUAACCAUGACUUUGGGACCUUAGCUGGCGGUCUGGGUUGUUUCCCUCUUCACGACGGACGUUAGCACCCGCCGUGUGUCUCCCGUGAUAACAUUCUCCGGUAUUCGCAGUUUGCAUCGGGUUGGUAAGCCGGGAUGGCCCCCUAGCCGAAACAGUGCUCUACCCCCGGAGAUGAAUUCACGAGGCGCUACCUAAAUAGCUUUCGGGGAGAACCAGCUAUCUCCCGGUUUGAUUGGCCUUUCACCCCCAGCCACAGGUCAUCCGCUAAUUUUUCAACAUUAGUCGGUUCGGUCCUCCAGUUAGUGUUACCCAACCUUCAACCUGCCCAUGGCUAGAUCACCGGGUUUCGGGUCUAUACCCUGCAACUUAACGCCCGGUUAAGACUCGGUUUCCCUCCGGCUCCCCUAUACGGUUAACCUUGCUACAGAAUAUAAGUCGCUGACCCAUUAUACAAAAGGUACGCAGUCACACAGGUAAACCUGUGCUCCCACUGCUUGUACGUACACGGUUUCAGGUUCUUUUUCACUCCCCUCGCCGGGGUUCUUUUCGCCUUUCCCUCACGGUACUGGUUCACUAUCGGUCAGUCAGGAGUAUUUAGCCUUGGAGGAUGGUCCCCCCAUAUUCAGACAGGAUACCACGUGUCCCGCCCUACUCAUCGAGCUCACAGCACAUGCGCUUUUGUGUACGGGGCUGUCACCCUGUAUCGCGCGCCUUUCCAGACGCUUCCACUAACACACAUGCUGAUUCAGGCUCUGGGCUCCUCCCCGUUCGCUCGCCGCUACUGGGGGAAUCUCGGUUGAUUUCUUUUCCUCGGGGUACUUAGAUGUUUCAGUUCCCCCGGUUCGCCUCAUUAACCUAUGGAUUCAGUUAAUGAUAGUGUGACGAAUCACACUGGGUUUCCCCAUUCGGAAAUCGCCGGUUAUAACGGUUCAUAUCACCUUACCGGCGCUUAUCGCAGAUUAGCACGUCCUUCAUCGCCUCUGACUGCCAGGGCAUCCACCGUGUACGCUUAGUCGCUUAACCUCACAACCCGAAGAUGUUUCUUACGAUUCAUCAUCGUGUUGCGAAAAUUUGAGAGACUCACGAACAACUUUCGUUGUUCUGUGUUUCAAUUUUCAGCUUGAUCCAGAUUUUUAAAGAGCAAA
RNAcentral lists this ribosomal RNA (1550 nucleotides) under Salmonella enterica subsp. enterica serovar Paratyphi A. Its description in RNAcentral is "23S ribosomal RNA". Lineage: Bacteria; Pseudomonadati; Pseudomonadota; Gammaproteobacteria; Enterobacterales; Enterobacteriaceae. The record is from RNAcentral.